AUAGUAACUUCUGCUCAAUGUAAAUAGCCGCAGUACCCUGACUGUGCAAAGGUAGCAUAAUAAUUUGGCUUAUAAUUGAAGUCUAGUAUAAAUGACCCAUGGGGAAUACUUUAUCAAAAUUUAUUAAAAAUUAAUAAUAAGGUGAAAAUGCCUUUUUUAUUAUAAGACGAGAAGACCCUAGAAAUUUUUAAUUUUGUUGGGGCAACAUAGUAUUACUAUUUGUAUCUUAUAGAAGAAUACUAAAUUACUCUAGGGAUAACAGCAUAAUUUUUAAUGUUUGUGACCUCGAUGUUGGAUUAGGUAAAAUUAAAA
Molecule: ribosomal RNA, 312 nt
Filed under: Cochlostyla collodes
Lineage: Eukaryota; Metazoa; Mollusca; Gastropoda; Stylommatophora; Camaenidae
Description: Helicostyla collodes partial 16S ribosomal RNA
Source: RNAcentral